UACGAAGGGUGCAAGCGUUACUCGGAAUUACUGGGCGUAAAGCGUGCGUAGGUGGUUUGUUAAGUCUGUUGUGAAAGCCCCGGGCUCAACCUGGGAAUGGCAAUGGAUACUGGCAGGCUAGAGUGCGGUAGAGGAUGGCGGAAUUCCCGGUGUAGCAGUGGAAAUGCGUAGAGAUCGGGAGGAACAUCUGUGGCGAAGGCGGCCAUCUGGACCAGCACUGACACUGAGGCACGAAAGCGUGGGGAGCAAACAGG
RNAcentral lists this ribosomal RNA (254 nucleotides) under uncultured bacterium. RNAcentral's name for it is "partial 16S ribosomal RNA". It matches the Rfam family "Bacterial small subunit ribosomal RNA", at positions 524 to 776 of the family's 1533-position model. The record is from RNAcentral.